RNAcentral lists this long non-coding RNA (273 nucleotides) under Lathyrus oleraceus (garden pea). Its description in RNAcentral is "Pisum sativum (pea) long non-coding RNA (PSAT_LNC036267)". The record is from RNAcentral. Lineage: Eukaryota; Viridiplantae; Streptophyta; Magnoliopsida; Fabales; Fabaceae.
AAAAAAAGAGAUGAAAAAGAAAAGGACAAAAGAGAUUAACACCCAAAUUGGAUCAAAGGUUUGAUCAAGUCAUCAUCAAAACCAAUCAUCCAUUUUGGUGGAUUAGGGUUUUCACCCCAUUAACAUCCAAGAUCAAUUGAGUUUGAUAAUACAUAUGAUCAAAACAACCAUGAUCCAAGGUCAACAUAAGUCAGCAAAGGUCAAACAAAUAAAAAAUUCAAUAAAAUAAAAUAAAAAAGCAUCAAAAACAUUUUUAAAAGGGAAAUAAAAGAC